AUUGAACGCUGGCGGCAGGCCUAACACAUGCAAGUCGAGCGGUAGAGAGGUGCUUGCAUCUCUUGAGAGCGGCGGACGGGUGAGUAAUGCCUAGGAAUCUGCCUAGUGGUGGGGGAUAACGUUCGGAAACGGACGCUAAUACCGCAUACGUCCUACGGGAGAAAGCGGGGGAUCUUCGGACCUCGCGCCAUUAGAUGAGCCUAGGUCGGAUUAGCUAGUUGGUGAGGUAAUGGCUCACCAAGGCGACGAUCCGUAACUGGUCUGAGAGGAUGAUCAGUCACACUGGAACUGAGACACGGUCCAGACUCCUACGGGAGGCAGCAGUGGGAAUAUUGGACAAUAGGGCGGAAGACCUGAUCCAGCCAUGCCGCGUGUGUGAAGAAGGU
This 386-nucleotide ribosomal RNA is filed under the name uncultured bacterium. Its description in RNAcentral is "bacterial SSU rRNA". It matches the Rfam family "Bacterial small subunit ribosomal RNA", at positions 30 to 415 of the family's 1533-position model. The record is from RNAcentral.